AAAAGACUAAAACCAGAGUUUUCUAAAGUUGAAGGACUAAAUUGUACCAUAGUUUGAAAAUUGACUAAAACCAAAAUUUGACUAAAACCAAAAUCGCCUCAAAGUAUAGGAACUAAAAAUAUAUUUAACCCUAACAUAAUUCAAAAAGGAAAAUCUCAAGGAGAAAGGAAAGAGAAAUCCUAGUCCCCACACGGACAACUCCUAACCUUAAAUAAAACUUCCAAUCUAAAUAAAAACCUGGUACAACUAAAUCUAAAAGAAAAACUUCUUUUAACAACAUUUUUUUAACAACUUUUUGACAACGUAUAUGUGGCAGCUUGUAAUUGGUCCGUUUUAAAUAUUUUUUAAACAUAAAUUCAAAUAGAUCAAUAAAAUGAUGACACGUGUCUCAUUAUCAAAAAAGUUGUCAAAAAAUGUUGUUAAAAUAUCAUUGUCCAAAACUAAAACAACAUUGCAUUCUUCCUAUUCCUUGCAGCGGUCCCACAACUCAUUAAUACACACACUUCAAAUUUCUCUCUCCACUAAUCAUGUUGCAAGUACGUAACUUGCAUGCACAACAUUCUAUUUCCCUCACUUUAACUACACACCUUAACAUAUCUCACACCAACCAUUCCCUCAUCUCUAAAACAAUGCUCUCCACUUUCAUUUACUCUUCCCAUUUACAACUACAACCACAAGACUUGAACUUCACCUUCACUCGUUCUCUGCAAUCACCAAUACAUACUUAUGCCCAAACCUCACCAUCUAUUAUCCAACCUAAUAUCUACGCAACAAAAACCCCUCAACAACCUAAUAUUAUUAAGAUUUUCCUCCACCAACCUCCACGCACCACUACACCCUUCACCUCCCUUCUCCAUAAUUAAUCCACCCUUCUCCAAGAUUUACUCUUCACGCAACCCUUACAAUCAAACCUUAAACGACAUAAGGCUAAACCCCACUCUUCCUCUCAACUUUUCAGCACCCAUACACCUUCCUAACUUUAGAAACUCCUCUCUCACAGAUUAGCCACCACCUCCCUGCACCCAUUCCCGAAUACAUCAACCUCCCACCCUACUCAUCCACGUGGCCAUAGUUGCCUCAUCAUGCAACCCAACCUUAACGUCCUAUGAAUACAUUCUCUAGUACAACUCCUUAACUCCCAACUCCAACUCUCGUUAAUCUCCCAGCAUCCAUUUUCUCCAAGGUUCACACAUCUUGCAACACGCACAACCCAAACCUUCCUCCCGCUCAUCUUUCCCUUCAUCUUCAUCUUUUAUCCACCCAAAUGAUCAUCUUCAUCUUGCAACACGCACAACCCCUUCCUGGAACUCCUUCCAAUUCUUUCUCUUUUUAACACUCACCCUACCUAUCUCUUCCUACUACUCCAUACUCACUGUCAUCACCAUUUAUCUUUCACUCACACCUAAUCUAACGCCUCUAAAGAUCUCCUUGCUCACGACACUCCUAGUUUCACUCCAGUACCAAUCCAUGAAUACUCCACUAAAACUCAUCCACGUUCUUCCUCAUCUUCUCCCACCCAUAACCUAACCGGUUUCUGUCUACCCAAAGUAGAACCAUGAUACCCAACUCACCGCAACAAGAAAAACCGAGAGCCCAUUGGGUUGAGACACUCCCCACCAUUAAUUCACAGAAACAUCACAAGGUCACAUGCAAUUCAUUCAUGCCUACCUUUCACGUAAAAGAAUAAGAAACCCAAACAACCACAUCAUAUACUCAUUAAUAUUUGAAAGAACCACAUCCCAAGCCCCUUAUACACAUGAUAAUAUCAAGUUAAUCCCCUUACCUGGUAUUUCCAGAGAAGCUGUAGGGUUCCUUGGAUCCUCAACCACCCUGAAGAGUGUUUUCCUUGCUCACCGCAGCCACCAGCUUCUUACAGGGCUUCCCGAUUCUUCCUCUCUUUUACUUUUAUUUUUGGUUUAAUAGUCAAUUUUGUCCUUAGUUUCGUUGACAAAUCUCAAUUUAGUCCCUCGUUUUAAAAGUGAUUGAGAUGGUCCUUACUUUCAAAAUUGUGAGUCAAAUUAGUCCC
This 2026-nucleotide long non-coding RNA is filed under the name Vigna radiata. RNAcentral's name for it is "long non-coding RNA (VRAD_LNC016004)". Lineage: Eukaryota; Viridiplantae; Streptophyta; Magnoliopsida; Fabales; Fabaceae. The record is from RNAcentral.